GCCAGCCCGCUCAAGAACUCAAAUGAAUUGACGGGGGCCCGCACAAGCGGUGGAGUAUGUGGUUAAUUCGAUGCAACGCGAAGAACCUUACCUGGUCUUGACAUCCCGGAGACCCUUAGGAAACUAGGGGGUGCUUCCAUCUGGAAGAAUCUGGAGACAGGUGCUGCAUGGCUGUCGUCAGCUCGUGUCGUGAGAUGUUGGGUUAAGUCCCGCAACGAGCGCAACCCUUGCCUUUAGUUGCCAGCAGUUCGGCUGGGCACUCUAAAGGGACUGCCGGUGUUAAACCGGAGGAAGGUGGGGAUGACGUCAAGUCCUCAUGGCCUUUAUGACCAGGGCUACACACGUACUACAAUGGCCGAUACAAAGGGCAGCGACACUGCGAGGUGAAGCCAAUCCCGUAAAAUCGGUCUCAGUCCGGAUUGGAGUCUGCAACUCGACUCCAUGAAGUUGGAAUCGCUAGUAAUCGUGGAUCAGCAUGCCACGGUGAAUACGUUCCCGGGCCUU
This 504-nucleotide ribosomal RNA is filed under the name uncultured Desulfobulbus sp. RNAcentral describes it as "bacterial SSU rRNA". It matches the Rfam family "Bacterial small subunit ribosomal RNA", at positions 903 to 1382 of the family's 1533-position model. The record is from RNAcentral. Lineage: Bacteria; Pseudomonadati; Thermodesulfobacteriota; Desulfobulbia; Desulfobulbales; Desulfobulbaceae.